This 470-nucleotide ribosomal RNA is filed under the name Bacillus subtilis. Its description in RNAcentral is "bacterial SSU rRNA". It matches the Rfam family "Bacterial small subunit ribosomal RNA", at positions 1025 to 1495 of the family's 1533-position model. Lineage: Bacteria; Bacillati; Bacillota; Bacilli; Caryophanales; Bacillaceae. The record is from RNAcentral.
GGCAGAGUGACAGGUGGUGCAUGGUUGUCGUCAGCUCGUGUCGUGAGAUGUUGGGUUAAGUCCCGCAACGAGCGCAACCCUUGAUCUUAGUUGCCAGCAUUCAGUUGGGCACUCUAAGGUGACUGCCGGUGACAAACCGGAGGAAGGUGGGGAUGACGUCAAAUCAUCAUGCCCCUUAUGACCUGGGCUACACACGUGCUACAAUGGACAGAACAAAGGGCAGCGAAACCGCGAGGUUAAGCCAAUCCCACAAAUCUGUUCUCAGUUCGGAUCGCAGUCUGCAACUCGACUGCGUGAAGCUGGAAUCGCUAGUAAUCGCGGAUCAGCAUGCCGCGGUGAAUACGUUCCCGGGCCUUGUACACACCGCCCGUCACACCACGAGAGUUUGUAACACCCGAAGUCGGUGAGGUAACCUUUUAGGAGCCAGCCGCCGAAGGUGGGACAGAUGAUUGGGGUGAAGUCGUAACAAG